RNAcentral lists this transfer RNA (71 nucleotides) under Lopaphus sphalerus. RNAcentral's name for it is "tRNA-Asp". Lineage: Eukaryota; Metazoa; Arthropoda; Insecta; Phasmatodea; Lonchodidae. The record is from RNAcentral.
AGAAAAUUAGUUAAUGUUAUAACAUUAAUAUGUCAUAUUAAAAUUAUUGAAAAUAAUUUCAAUAUUUUCUA